AAAAAAAGUAAAUAAAUAAAUUAAAAGGAAAAGAAAAAGAAAAAGAAAAAGAAAAAGAAAAAAAAAAAAAGAAAUGAUGAGUGAUUAAUCCGUUCGUUACAAUCCAUGCGUAUUUUUUUUCUCUAUUUUCCUUCUUUGAUGCUUCGAUGACGUUCAAUGCUAUUCGCAUGCCAAAGCUCAGUCUGAUAAUUAACACUAUCCACGUAUAUGAGAGACUACUUGCAUGCAUACAAGUACGUUGCGACGUGGUAACUAAUUGUAAGUAGUAGUAAUAGUAAGAGUGGAAAAACGCAAAAGGAAUUUCUCGUUGAUCGAACACGUGCAGGAGCGGUGCGUUGUAAAGAGUUUAGGAGCAUGGUAUAUACUACUUCUCGUUGUGAUAUAAUGCCGAUAGUCGAAGUGGCAACGGUAGUAGUAUAGUUAAGCCUUGGCUUAGAUUCCAAGCUCUGUCGCGUGUGCUACCUCGUGACCAAUGGCGUCGCGUCUUUCAUUAUAAUUCACGAGUAACAAUGAAAUGUCGUAAAAUUCAAUAUUUGUAAAAAAAGAAAAAAAAAAAAAAAAAGAAAAAAAAGAAAAAAAACCCAUUUAAUUCGAAUAUGUAAUGGUGUCUCGAUGUUUUCGGGAUUUCCGAAACAUCGAGGGUAAGGGUGAUUACAAGACUCGAAGACGUUGAUCUACGUUCGAAACAUCGAGGGUAAGGGUGAUUACAAGACUCGAAGACGUUGAUCUACGUUGUGUGUAACGAAGAGGAGGAUUCGUAUUAGGCACAACUUUUACCGUUAAGUACUGGUUAGAAAAGCGAUGGAAGUCUCUCUCUCUCUCUCUCUCUCUCUCUCUCUCUCUCUCUCACUCUUUCUCUCUCUCUCUCUCUCUCUCUGUCUAUCUCUCUCUUAUACGGCAUUACACGCGAGAACAUUCUCCGCGAUGAACACUCACUCGUAGGUCCUUCUACCUCCGUGUAAUGCCACUGCAAAAAAAAAGAGAGAAAGAGAGAGUACCUGUAUCUUGUUUCUUUCGACCUCCGAGUAUCUCUCUUCUUCAAUCUACGAGUUUCAUCGGUCGAUGAGUUCGAUCUCUCGCAAAAUCGAUAGCAUGUAAUCCUUUUCGAUAGCUGAGUAUUAUUUUCACGGAUAGCUCUCUCUUUCUCUCUCACAUGCGCCUGCACACACACAUACAUAUACAAUUAUUGUCAUAUUUUGAAAAUAUAACAUAGUUUUCAAAGUGACGUUUACUACGCUAAAAAAAGAAGAGUACGUGUUAAGAAAAUGUAAUACUGAAGUUAAAUAUAAAACAAAGCACACAAAAGUAGGGACUCGAUCGAAGAGAGAAGUCAAAAGUAUCUCGACGCAGAUUCGCGAUAGGGAAGGGACGAUGACGAAGAUGAGGAGGAGGGAGUGGAUGUCCUUGGAGCACGGUAGUUAACUGCAAGCGUCUACUCCACGAGGAACCAUUACUAACGAGUCUGAGGAGUGAGGAUGCACCAGGUGUAUAGAUACAUGAAUGCAUAUUCUUCUCGUUGACGUAGAUUUUGUAGAAGUCGAUCGUGACCAAAUCAUAAUGGAUUUCUAUUGUUCCAAUAUUGAUAAUGUUACCAACCUCUCUUUUUAAGUAUUAAUGAGCUUUUAAUAGGCUAGCCAAAGUUAUUUAUGUACAAAUGAUUAUUAAUGAUAAUAAAAUUGAUUUCCAUAUUU
Long non-coding RNA from Vespa velutina, 1691 nucleotides. RefSeq lists it as uncharacterized. NCBI's taxonomy places the organism in Eukaryota, Metazoa, Arthropoda, Insecta, Hymenoptera, Vespidae. The record is from RefSeq and is a predicted model, not a curated record. The transcript is spliced from 3 exons.